Molecule: ribosomal RNA, 429 nt
Filed under: Bacteroidota bacterium
Lineage: Bacteria; Pseudomonadati; Bacteroidota
Description: Bacteroidetes bacterium partial 16S ribosomal RNA
Rfam family: Bacterial small subunit ribosomal RNA
Source: RNAcentral
UAGGGAAUCUUCCGCAAUGGACGCAAGUCUGACGGAGCAACGCCGCGUGAGUGAAGAAGGAUUUCGGUUCGUAAAACUCUGUUGUUAGAGAAGAACAGCGCAUAGAGUAACUGUUAUGCGUGUGACGGUAUCUAACCAGAAAGCCACGGCUAACUACGUGCCAGCAGCCGCGGUAAUACGUAGGUGGCAAGCGUUGUCCGGAUUUAUUGGGCGUAAAGCGAGCGCAGGCGGUCAAUUAAGUCUGAUGUGAAAGCCCCCGGCUCAACCGGGGAGGGUCAUUGGAAACUGGUUGACUUGAGUGCAGAAGAGGAGAGUUGAAUUCCAUGUGUAGCGGUGAAAUGCGUAGAUAUAUGGAGGAACACCAGUGGCGAAGGCGACUCUCUGGUCUGUAACUGACGCUGAGGUUCGAAAGCGUGGGUAGCAAACAGG